This 2628-nucleotide long non-coding RNA is filed under the name Marmota monax (woodchuck). The record is from RNAcentral. Lineage: Eukaryota; Metazoa; Chordata; Mammalia; Rodentia; Sciuridae.
UUAUGUGGUCACUGAUACCUAUUCAGGCUGUGGAAUGGCCAUCCCCAUCUACUUAAGUGCUUUGGGAUCAUGGCAGCUCCUUUCUCCAUGAAAACUGACACUGGUGCAGCCUAGGCAAGCAGAGCUUUCAAGGAAUUUUGCUCUACAUGGCACAUAAAUCAUGUCACUGGGAUCCCCUAUAACCCUCAGGUUUAAUGCAUUGUAGACAGAACACGCAAGGAAUUAAUGACCAUGCUACAAAAAUGGGGGAGGGGGAGGGAGGAGGCUCUACCAAAUCCUCUCACAAUGCCUUGAACAAAAUCUUGUUUCCUUCAAAUUUUCUUUCAACUUCAAAAUUUUCCAUGAAAAUAGCCACCCACAAACAUUAGGCCCCCUUCACUGUGCCCUCCCAUUUACCUAUAAUCUCCCAGAUGGAUCCCAUCACAAGUGCAUGGAAUGGUUCAGCGUCCCUCCUAAAACUGGGUCCAAGGUUUGUAUAUGUUGACAGAAGCCUCACCCCAUCUGGGUGCCUGCAGUGAAACUGUCUGCCAGGUAAAUUGGGCUUUAGUCCCUUGGCCACCAAAUUAGCAGUGGGCAAUUGGGAAGGAGCCCUAUCUAAGCUCUUUUCUAAUAACUCCAACCUGAUUGAUCCUGAGGUAGCCAUACUAGGACCACCCAUGCAGGGGACCACCAGCACUCCCAUGCCUCCUUGGCCGUGUGGUUAGCUGAUAACGAGACCUAAUAUCACGACCGUCCUCUCUGUUUUGCUCUUGCUAAUGAAACUUUUGUAGAUCAAUAUAACAAGUCCUAUGUUGGCUAUCUCUCUCUCUGACAGUUGGUAGUUAACGCUACCAAUAGCCAUAGACUCCCCCUCCCCCAUGGCAAGUGCGAGAAACCCUUGCUGCUAACAUGCCCAACAACAUUCUUUAGAAAGCCCCCCUUUGAUAAUGAUAGCACCCCAUAGAAUCAGUGUGUGGCAGCCACACCUUAUCUCCUUGGUAAGAGAAAUUUCUUUGGGGAAAAUCAACACCUAAGCACCUGGGUAGGCACAGCUCUCUGGAAUGUAACCCAUGUGCCUCAAAACCAUAUGGGCUAUGGAGUAACUGCUACCUGGGACAAUCUCUCAUCAACCACUAUGCAGGAAAUCAAUAUAGAUAGUAUGAUGGAUAUCACGCCAAUAUUGCUAGCCACUAGACCCUUCAAAUAAGCAUCAGCAGGCUGGACAAAUGGAUCAAUAAUGGGCCCUAAACCCAACAUAUGCCUUCAUCCCAAAGUAUACCCAUACCCACUAUGCACAAACUUGUGUCACGCCACCCUUUGCCAUGCUCAUAAUCAAUGCCUCUGAUGGUGUAAAUAUCACUCAUGCAGAGAUUCCUUGUGCAGUCAAUGCAUCCUGCUGGCUCACAACCUGUCUAUACCUGCUAUGAAAGCUAAAUGUGUGUUUAUCCUCAGAUGCCCCCAGCAGCCUGGCUUCCAGUGAACCAGUCCAAGGAGUGAAGGAGUCCAUGGGACAUGCAGAGGAAGCAUCUUCUGAGUGAGAUCCUGCACUGGACAAGGCAUGAAAUUGGUCUCAUCUUUGCUGGGAUUGUUGCCCUAGUGGCUGCCAUCGCCACCACAGCCACUGCCACUGCUUCACUCACUCAGAGGAUCUGCACUGUGCAGACUGGAAACAAUGUGUCCCCUGCCAUUGUAGCAGCCUUUCCCUUUCAAAAUGACUUAAAUAAACUGUCCUGAACUGCUAUUUUCCUCAUUCAGCAAGAACCAGACCUCCUUCAGGAGCCUGAGGUGUUCUGUUUAUGUUGCAAAGGCUCACGGUCACCCUGAAUUUCAUAAUAUUUGCAUCAUCCAAUACACUGUAUCUGACACUGGAACCUUACAGUUCUCCACUUUUUCUCACUACAUGAAGGGCGCUUGGGAUGCUCACUGUAUUAUGACUGCAUGACGUCACUAAGCCCAUGGUCAAAAAUCAAGGGGACUAAGGUGUCUGUCUCAACAGUCUCCUCUUUCUUCCAGGGAUUGGCUGAACAUUGGAAAAACCUGAGAGCCAAGUUCACUAACCCUUACAGUGCUAUUACCCUGGCCCUACUGAUUGUGACAGUAAUAUUUUUUCUUGUGUUCUGAGACGCUUAUGCAAGCUUGUGAAGGCCACCGACAAAAAUAAGGGAUGCUAGCAAAAGUUCUUGUGGCACAGUCUGAGGGGGAGAUGUAGGAACAAGUGAAUGGAGAACUGUAUAUGUGGCAUACAUGAAGGGCAUCUGAGUGGCAGGCCACUCCGCUCCAGCUAGGGGUGUGAGUAACAGGCUGCUCACCCUGUAGGCCCCUCCCUGGGCAUGAGGCCACCUGUUGCAGUCCCUGCACUUGCUCCAUGGCCUGCUACUUGAUUGGUUGUGGCUCUUCAGAGCCACUCCUGCACCAACAGUUUCUCAAUAGAACAACCUUGGAAUCAUCAGUAGGCCAGAGGGAAUAUUGGGGCCUACUUUGGUCUCCUAGAGUUGUUCAGAAAUUGUAUUGGUGGCUUCAUGUAAUGUGCUUAGCUGCUGACCAAGUGUAUACACAUGAUAACUGUGCAAUAAAAUCAGAUCUGCUUCCUGCUUUGUGUCUGGAGGUCUUGAUUCGUCAAUCCCCAGCCACCCUUUCCUCGACCCUGUU